GACUUUACUGUCGGCUGUAGCUAAACUUACACAUGCAAGUAUCCGCACCCCCGUGAGAAUGCCCCAACAGUUUCCCGCCCGGAAACAAGGAGCCGGUAUCAGGCACAACCUUCACCAGCCCACGACACCUUGCUUAGCCACACCCUCAAGGGACUUCAGCAGUGAUAAACAUUAAGCUAUGAGUGAAAACUCGACUUAGUCAAAGCUCAGAGGGCCGGUAAAACUCGUGCCAGCCACCGCGGUUAUACGAGAGGCCCAAGUUGACAGACAGCGGCGUAAAGAGUGGUUAGGGAAAUUUUUAAACUAAAGCCGAACGUCCUCAGAGCUGUCUAACGCUUACGAGUUAAGAAGCCCCAUUACGAAAGUAGCUUUAUCUAACCUGACCCCACGAAAGCUGAGAAACAAACUGGGAUUAGAUACCCCACUAUGCUCAGCCCUAAACUUUGAUAGGUCACUACGCCCCCUAUCCGCCCGGGUACUACGAGCAUUAGCUUGAAACCCAAAGGACUUGGCGGUGCUUCAUAUCCGUCUAGAGGAGCCUGUUC
RNAcentral lists this ribosomal RNA (545 nucleotides) under Chrysiptera rapanui (Easter damselfish). RNAcentral describes it as "partial 12S small subunit ribosomal RNA". It matches the Rfam family "Bacterial small subunit ribosomal RNA", at positions 21 to 944 of the family's 1533-position model. Lineage: Eukaryota; Metazoa; Chordata; Actinopteri; Pomacentridae. The record is from RNAcentral.